AUACGGAGGGUGCAAGCGUUAUCCGGACUCAUUGGGUUUAAAGGGUGCGCAGGCGGAAUGAUAAGUCAGUGGUGAAAUCCUACAGCUUAACUGUAGAACUGCCAUUGAUACUGUCAUUCUUGAGUACACUUGAAGUGGGCGGAAUGUAUCAUGUAGCGGUGAAAUGCAUAGAUAUGAUACAGAACUCCGAUAGCGAAGGCAGCUCACUAAAUUGUAACUGACGCUCAGGCACGAAAGCGUGGGGAGCAAACAGGAUUAGAAACCCUUGUAGUCC
Molecule: ribosomal RNA, 274 nt
Filed under: uncultured bacterium
Lineage: Bacteria
Description: partial 16S ribosomal RNA
Rfam family: Bacterial small subunit ribosomal RNA
Source: RNAcentral